GUCCACGCCGUAAACGAUGGGCAUUAGGUGUGGGAGGUGUCGACUCCUCCCGUGCCGGCGCUAACGCAUUAAAUGCCCCGCCUGGGGAGUACGGCCGCAAGGCUAAAACUCAAAGGAAUUGACGGGGGCCCGCACAAGCAGCGGAGCAUGUGGUUUAAUUCGAUGCAACGCGAAGAACCUUACCUGGGCUUGACAUGUUUGUGACCGCCGUGGAAACACGGUUUCCCUUCGGGGCACUUACACAGGUGGUGCAUGGCUGUCGU
This 263-nucleotide ribosomal RNA is filed under the name uncultured bacterium. RNAcentral describes it as "partial 16S ribosomal RNA". It matches the Rfam family "Bacterial small subunit ribosomal RNA", at positions 793 to 1055 of the family's 1533-position model. The record is from RNAcentral.